RNAcentral lists this ribosomal RNA (449 nucleotides) under uncultured bacterium. Its description in RNAcentral is "partial 16S ribosomal RNA". It matches the Rfam family "Bacterial small subunit ribosomal RNA", at positions 29 to 523 of the family's 1533-position model. The record is from RNAcentral.
AAUGAACGCUGGCGGCAUGCCUAACACAUGCAAGUCGAACGAAGGCUUCGGCCUUAGUGGCGCACGGGUGCGUAACCCGUGGGAAUCUGCCCUCAGGUUCGGAAUAACAGCGAGAAAUUGCUGCUAAUACCGGAUGAUAUCGCUAGAUCAAAGAUUUAUCGCCGGAGGAUGAGCCCGCGUAGGAUUAGCUAGUUGGUGUGGUAAAGGCGCACCAAGGCGACGAUCCUUAGCUGGUCUGAGAGGAUGAUCAGCCAAACUGGGACUGAGACACGGCCCAGACUCCUACGGGAGGCAGCAGUGGGGAAUAUUGGACAAUGGGCGAAAGCCUGAUCCAGCAAUGCCGCGUGAGUGAUGAAGGCCUUAGGGUUGUAAAGCUCUUUUACCCGGGAUGAUAAUGACAGUACCGGGAGAAUAAGCUCCGGCUAACUCCGUGCCAGCCGCCGCCGUAA